UGCGCGAUUGUAAGCCAAUAAGGCCAUUUCCUCUGCUGUUUGUUGGCUACAAUAAUUAGUAGGAACCUUGCCAAGUAAUUGAAUCAUGGACAUUCUGGAGUAGGGUACCAGAGCUUCAAGCACUGUAUUUGUAGCACCGGGCACUGCCAUCAACCAGCCCAGCGCCUGAGAGGCACCGCCGGAGAGAUAAAGGACGGCCUGAGUGGGGGUGGAAUGUAUGCCUUCAACUAACGCUGGAAUCCAAGCUUCCAUCAUUGUCUUCAUCUCGAUUAAAUUCAAUCUCUACUUUAAAUUUAUCCCUUCUUCUUGUGGGGCAAAGAGGACAUAAACAUAUAUUCG
Molecule: unclassified non-coding RNA, 339 nt
Filed under: Hevea brasiliensis (rubber tree)
Lineage: Eukaryota; Viridiplantae; Streptophyta; Magnoliopsida; Malpighiales; Euphorbiaceae
Source: RNAcentral